GAUGAACGCUGGCGGCGUGCCUAACACAUGCAAGUCGAGCGAUCUUCUUCGGAAGAGAGCGGCGGACGGGUGAGUAACGCGUGGGUAACCUGCCCUGUACACACGGAUAACAUACCGAAAGGUAUGCUAAUACGGGAUAAUAUAUGAGAGUCACAUGACUUUUAUAUCAAAGUUUUUGCGGUACAGGAUGGACCCGCGUCUGAUUAGCUAGUUGGUAAGGUAACGGCUUACCAAGGCGACGAUCAGUAGCCGACCUGAGAGGGUGAUCGGCCACCCUGGAACUGAGACACGGUCCAGAAUCCUACGGGAGGCAGCAGUGGGGAAUAUUGCACAAUGGGCGAAAGCCUGAUGCAGCAACGCCGCGUGAGCGAUGAAGGCCUUCGGGUCGUAAAGCUCUGUCCUCAAGGAAGAUAAUGACGGUACUUGAGGAGGAAGCCCCGGCUAACUACGUGCCAGCCGCCGCCGUAA
This 468-nucleotide ribosomal RNA is filed under the name uncultured bacterium. RNAcentral's name for it is "partial 16S ribosomal RNA". It matches the Rfam family "Bacterial small subunit ribosomal RNA", at positions 28 to 523 of the family's 1533-position model. The record is from RNAcentral.